GACGAACGCUGGCGGCGUGCCUAAUACAUGCAAGUAGAACGCUGAAGAGAGGAGCUUGCUCUUCUUGGAUGAGUUGCGAACGGGUGAGUAACGCGUAGGUAACCUGCCUUGUAGCGGGGGAUAACUAUUGGAAACGAUAGCUAAUACCGCAUAACAAUGGAUGACACAUGUCAUUUAUUUGAAAGGGGCAAUUGCUCCACUACAAGAUGUACCUGCGUUGUAUUAGCUAGUAGGUGAGGUAAUGGCUCACCUAGGCGACGAUACAUAGCCGACCUGAGAGGGUGAUCGGACACACUGGGACUGAGACACGGCCCAGACUCCUACGGGAGGCAGCAGUAGGGAAUCUUCGGCAAUGGGGGCAACCCUGACCGAGCAACGCCGCGUGAGUGAAGAAGGUUUUCGGAUCGUAAAGCUCUGUUGUAAGUCAAGAACGGGUGUGAGAGUGGAAAGUUCACACUGUGACGGUAGCUUACCAGAAAGGGACGGCUAACUACGUG
This 497-nucleotide ribosomal RNA is filed under the name uncultured bacterium. RNAcentral describes it as "partial 16S ribosomal RNA". It matches the Rfam family "Bacterial small subunit ribosomal RNA", at positions 28 to 507 of the family's 1533-position model. The record is from RNAcentral.